UACGUAGGGCCCGAGCGUUGUCCGGAAUUAUUGGGCGUAAAGAGCUCGUAGGCGGUUUGUCGCGUCUGCUGUGAAAUCCCGAGGCUCAACCUCGGGUCUGCAGUGGGUACGGGCAGACUGGAGUGCGGUAGGGGAGAAUGGAAUUCCUGGUGUAGCGGUGGAAUGCGCAGAUAUCAGGAAGAACACCCGUGGCGAAGGCGGCUCUCUGGGACGGUACUGACGCUGAGACGCGAAAGCGUGGGGAGCAAACAGG
Molecule: ribosomal RNA, 253 nt
Filed under: uncultured bacterium
Lineage: Bacteria
Description: partial 16S ribosomal RNA
Rfam family: Bacterial small subunit ribosomal RNA
Source: RNAcentral